Non-coding RNA from Danio rerio (zebrafish), 437 nucleotides. The record is from RefSeq and is a predicted model, not a curated record. Lineage: Eukaryota; Metazoa; Chordata; Actinopteri; Cypriniformes; Danionidae.
CUACAAAAGACAUUUCGAGUGAUGAGGAGUUACUCUAUGAUUAUGGCUCAAAGAGGAGAUCUUUUGCCGGGAAAGGGCUGGAAUUGGACUGGAUGAAAAACAACAUCUUUCCAUCGCCCAUACUCACUCACUUCUAACAUGUCCAACUCCCAAGUUUCCACCUGUGGCCAUAUUCUCUCCUCUCUCUCUCUGGACAACCAUCACUGCUCUUCUCACCCUGGAGUACUCUUUCUGCACUGCCAAGCAACAACACUGCUCUCCAAAUAGAGACUUGGUUGUAAUAGGCUGAAUGAUUUUCUUUAUGCAAUAGUGAGAGUGUGAGUAGGCUACUCCAUAUUCUCUCCUCUCUCUCUGGAUUUUGUACAACACAUGUGGAAUUACAGCCUGAUUACCAAGGCUUUUAAGGUCAGCAGACAUGGACCUCAAUGCUGAGAAUU